AUGAUGACCGGGGGAGAGACCGCCUUAGGCGGCGCCGAAGGAGCAAACAGGCGAGAAACUCUCAGGCAAAAGGACCCUGGUUUGACA
RNAcentral lists this non-coding RNA (87 nucleotides) under Thermosinus carboxydivorans. RNAcentral describes it as "Glycine sequence". It matches the Rfam family "Glycine riboswitch aptamer". From Rfam's summary of the family: This family represents the bacterial glycine riboswitch. Lineage: Bacteria; Bacillati; Bacillota; Negativicutes; Selenomonadales; Sporomusaceae. The record is from RNAcentral. RNAcentral also lists the same sequence under 1 other name.